UGGGGAAUAUUGGACAAUGGGCGAAAGCCUGAUCCAGCCAUGCCGUGUGUGUGAAGAAGGUCUUCGGAUUGUAAAGCACUUUAAGUGGGGAGGAAGGGCAGUAAGCGAAUACCUUGCUGUUUUGACGUUACCGACAGAAUAAGCACCGGCUAACUCUGUGCCAGCAGCCGCGGUAAUACAGAGGGUGCAAGCGUUAAUCGGAAUUACUGGGAGUAAAGCGCGCGUAGGUGGUUCGUUAAGUUGAAUGUGAAAUCCCCGGGCUCAACCUGGGAACUGCAUCCAUAACUGGCGAGCUAUAGUAGGUCAGAGGGUGGUGGACUUUCCUGUGUAGCGGUGAAAUGCGUAGAUAUAGGAAGGAACACCAGUGGCGAAGGCUACCACCUGGGCUCAUACUGUCACUGAGGUGCGAAAGCGUGGGGAGCACACAGG
Molecule: ribosomal RNA, 429 nt
Filed under: Pseudomonadota bacterium
Lineage: Bacteria; Pseudomonadati; Pseudomonadota
Description: Proteobacteria bacterium partial 16S ribosomal RNA
Rfam family: Bacterial small subunit ribosomal RNA
Source: RNAcentral